RNAcentral lists this long non-coding RNA (203 nucleotides) under Mytilus galloprovincialis (Mediterranean mussel). Lineage: Eukaryota; Metazoa; Mollusca; Bivalvia; Mytilida; Mytilidae. The record is from RNAcentral.
CAGAUGUGAUGCCAGAUAUCAACUUUAGUGGGGUUGUGAUUAAGAGUCAAAGCUCAGUCGUUUACAGAUUGUCUUGUUCGACAGAUGUAAUCUUUUGGGGAUGUACUGUGGAAAUUCUAGUUAAUGGCGUUACCGUACAGGAUUUACGAUAUUUGGACGAUUUUUGCUACAACAGGAAUGGUAUAUGCUAUCCGGAUUUAUGU